RNAcentral lists this ribosomal RNA (397 nucleotides) under uncultured bacterium. RNAcentral describes it as "partial 16S ribosomal RNA". It matches the Rfam family "Bacterial small subunit ribosomal RNA", at positions 523 to 918 of the family's 1533-position model. The record is from RNAcentral.
AUACGUAGGGGGCGAGCGUUGUCCGGAAUGAUUGGGCGUAAAGGGCGCGUAGGCGGCCCGGUAAGUCUGGGGUGAAAGUCCUGUUUUUAAGAUGGGAAUUGCUUUGGAUACUGUCGGGCUUGAGUGCAGGAGAGGUAAGUGGAAUUCCCAGUGUAGCGGUGAAAUGCGUAGAGAUUGGGAGGAACACCAGUGGCGAAGGCGACUUACUGGACUGUAACUGACGCUGAGGCGCGAAAGUGUGGGGAGCAAACAGGAUUAGAUACCCUGGUAGUCGACACUGUAAACGAUGAAUGCUAGGUGUAGGGGGUAUCGACCCCUUCUGUGCCGCGGUCAACACAAUAAGCAUUCCGCCUGGGGAGUACGGCCGCAAGGUUGAAACUCAAAUGAAUUGGCGGGG